AACGAACGCUGGCGGCAUGCCUAACACAUGCAAGUCGAACGAGACCUUCGGGUCUAGUGGCGCACGGGUGCGUAACGCGUGGGAACCUGCCCUUAGGUUCGGAAUAACUCCCCGAAAGGGGUGCUAAUACCGGAUAAUGUCUUCGGACCAAAGAUUUAUCGCCUUUGGAUGGGCCCGCGUUGGAUUAGCUAGUUGGUAGGGUAAAAGCCUACCAAGGCGACGAUCCAUAGCUGGUCUGAGAGGAUGAUCAGCCACACUGGGACUGAGACACGGCCCAGAAUCCUACGGGAAGCAGCAGUGGGGAAUAUUGGACAAUGGGCGAAAGCCUGAUCCAGCAAUGCCGCGUGAGUGAUGAAGGCAUUAGGGUUGUAAAGCUCUUUUACCCGGGAUGAUAAUGACAGUACCGGGAGAAUAAGCUCCGGCUAACUCCGUG
Molecule: ribosomal RNA, 433 nt
Filed under: uncultured bacterium
Lineage: Bacteria
Description: partial 16S ribosomal RNA
Rfam family: Bacterial small subunit ribosomal RNA
Source: RNAcentral